This 307-nucleotide ribosomal RNA is filed under the name Escherichia coli. RNAcentral describes it as "bacterial SSU rRNA". It matches the Rfam family "Bacterial small subunit ribosomal RNA", at positions 1 to 304 of the family's 1533-position model. The record is from RNAcentral. Lineage: Bacteria; Pseudomonadati; Pseudomonadota; Gammaproteobacteria; Enterobacterales; Enterobacteriaceae.
AAAUUGAAGAGUUUGAUCAUGGCUCAGAUUGAACGCUGGCGGCAGGCCUAACACAUGCAAGUCGAACGGUAACAGGAAUCAGCUUGCUGAUUCGCUGACGAGUGGCGGACGGGUGAGUAAUGUCUGGGAAACUGCCUGAUGGAGGGGGAUAACUACUGGAAACGGUAGCUAAUACCGCAUAACGUCGCAAGACCAAAGAGGGGGACCUUCGGGCCUCUUGCCAUCGGAUGUGCCCAGAUGGGAUUAGCUAGUAGGUGGGGUAACGGCUCACCUAGGCGACGAUCCCUAGCUGGUCUGAGAGGAUGAC